AGUCGAGCGAGGUAGCAAUACCUAGCGGCAGACGGGUGAGUAACAUGUGGGAAUCUGCCUUUUGGUUCGGAACAACACGGGGAAACCUGUGCUAAUACCGGAUAAGUCCUAACGGAGAAAGUUUUAAUGCCAAAAGAUGAGCCCGCAUUUGAUUAGCUAGUUGGUAAGGUAAAAGCUUACCAAGGCGACAAUCAAUAGCUGAUUUGAGAGGAUGAUCAGCCACACUGGGACUGAGAUACGGCCCACACUCCUACGGGAGGCAGCAGUGGGGAAUCUUGCACAAUGGGCGAAAGCCUGAUGCAGCGAUGCCGCGUGAGUGAAGAAGGCCUUUGGGUUGUAAAGCUCUUUUGUCGGGAAAGAUAAUGACUGUACCCGAAGAAUAAGGUCCGGCUAACUUCGUGCCAGCAGCCGCGGUAAUACGAAGGGACCUAGCGUAGUUCGGAAUUACUGGGCGUAAAGAGUAUGUAGGCGGCUAGAUAAGUUAAUUGUGAAAGCCCAAAGCUUAACUUUGGAAUUGCAAUUAAAACUAUUUAGCUGGAGUAUGAUAGAGGAAAGCGGAAUACAUAGUGUAGAGGUGAAAUUCGUAGAUAUUAUGUAGAACACCAGUUGCGAAGGCGGCUUUCUGGAUCAUUACUGACGCUGAAAUACAAAAGUAUGGGUAGCGAAAAAGAUUAAAAACCCUCGUAGCCCAUACCCUAAACGAUGAUUAUUAGAUGUGGGGAAAUAAUUUCUCUGUAUCAUAGCUAAACGCGUUAAAAAAACCCCCUGGGGGAGUACCACCGCCAAGGUUAAAACUCCAAUGA
Molecule: ribosomal RNA, 803 nt
Filed under: uncultured Alphaproteobacteria bacterium
Lineage: Bacteria; Pseudomonadati; Pseudomonadota; Alphaproteobacteria
Description: bacterial SSU rRNA
Rfam family: Bacterial small subunit ribosomal RNA
Source: RNAcentral